CCUACGGGUGGCAGCAGUGGGGAAUAUUGGACAAUGGGCGAAAGCCUGAUCCAGCCAUGCCGCGUGUGUGAAGAAGGCCUUCGGGUUGUAAAGCACUUUCAGUGGGGAAGAAAGCCUUGGGGCUAAUACCCUCGAGGAAAGACAUCACCCACAGAAGAAGCACCGGCUAACUCCGUGCCAGCAGCCGCGGUAAUACGGAGGGUGCGAGCGUUAAUCGGAAUUACUGGGCGUAAAGCGCGCGUAGGCGGUCUGAUAAGCCGGUUGUGAAAGCCCCGGGCUCAACCUGGGAACGGCAUCCGGAACUGUCAGGCUAGAGUGCAGGAGAGGAAGGUAGAAUUCCCGGUGUAGCGGUGAAAUGCGUAGAGAUCGGGAGGAAUACCAGUGGCGAAGGCGGCCUUCUGGACUGACACUGACGCUGAGGUGCGAAAGCGUGGGUAGCAAACAGGAUUAGAUACCCCAGUAGUC
RNAcentral lists this ribosomal RNA (465 nucleotides) under Vreelandella stevensii. Its description in RNAcentral is "partial 16S ribosomal RNA". It matches the Rfam family "Bacterial small subunit ribosomal RNA", at positions 338 to 795 of the family's 1533-position model. Lineage: Bacteria; Pseudomonadati; Pseudomonadota; Gammaproteobacteria; Oceanospirillales; Halomonadaceae. The record is from RNAcentral.